CGUGUACAUGAUUGGAUUUUGUAGAUAUAACUAACGCACAGAAAAAGUAUCAUGGAUUUCGAGACUUUCAUAUUCAAGGUUUUGAAUUCUACCCUUGUUGAAAACCUGUGGAGACCUCUACAGUUCCUUAAAACAUCAACUCCUUUGUAUUUCAUAAUAUGUGUCAUGAACAAAGACAUAUGUUCGAUUGAAUAAUGAUUUCC
Molecule: long non-coding RNA, 203 nt
Filed under: Mytilus galloprovincialis (Mediterranean mussel)
Lineage: Eukaryota; Metazoa; Mollusca; Bivalvia; Mytilida; Mytilidae
Source: RNAcentral